GUGCUCACUUUGGCAGCAAGUAUGCUAAAAUUGGAACAAUACAGAGAAGAUUAGCACAGCCCAUGCCUAAGGAUGACACGCAAAUUCAUGAAGUGUUCCAUAUUUUA
Molecule: small nuclear RNA, 107 nt
Organism: Suricata suricatta (meerkat)
Lineage: Eukaryota; Metazoa; Chordata; Mammalia; Carnivora; Herpestidae
Source: Ensembl